RNAcentral lists this microRNA precursor (72 nucleotides) under Rhinopithecus roxellana (golden snub-nosed monkey). Its description in RNAcentral is "microRNA 548aq (ENSRROG00000006611.1)". The record is from RNAcentral. Lineage: Eukaryota; Metazoa; Chordata; Mammalia; Primates; Cercopithecidae.
UAUUUAGGUUGGCGCAAAAGUAAUUGUGGUUUUUGCCAUCACUUUCAGUGGCAAAAACCGCAAUUACUUUUG